This 814-nucleotide ribosomal RNA is filed under the name Escherichia coli. Its description in RNAcentral is "partial 23S ribosomal RNA". It matches the Rfam family "Bacterial large subunit ribosomal RNA", at positions 375 to 1191 of the family's 2925-position model. Lineage: Bacteria; Pseudomonadati; Pseudomonadota; Gammaproteobacteria; Enterobacterales; Enterobacteriaceae. RNAcentral also lists the same sequence under 1 other name. The record is from RNAcentral.
GUACACAAAAAUGCACAUGCUGUGAGCUCGAUGAGUAGGGCGGGACACGUGGUAUCCUGUCUGAAUAUGGGGGGACCAUCCUCCAAGGCUAAAUACUCCUGACUGACCGAUAGUGAACCAGUACCGUGAGGGAAAGGCGAAAAGAACCCCGGCGAGGGGAGUGAAAAAGAACCUGAAACCGUGUACGUACAAGCAGUGGGAGCACAGAGCAAUCUGUGUGACUGCGUACCUUUUGUAUAAUGGGUCAGCGACUUAUAUUCUGUAGCAAGGUUAACCGAAUAGGGGAGCCGAAGGGAAACCGAGUCUUAACUGGGCGUUAAGUUGCAGGGUAUAGACCCGAAACCCGGUGAUCUAGCCAUGGGCAGGUUGAAGGUUGGGUAACACUAACUGGAGGACCGAACCGACUAAUGUUGAAAAAUUAGCGGAUGACUUGUGGCUGGGGGUGAAAGGCCAAUCAAACCGGGAGAUAGCUGGUUCUCCCCGAAAGCUAUUUAGGUAGCGCCUCGUGAAUUCAUCUCCGGGGGUAGAGCACUGUUUCGGCAAGGGGGUCAUCCCGACUUACCAACCCGAUGCAAACUGCGAAUACCGGAGAAUGUUAUCACGGGAGACACACGGCGGGUGCUAACGUCCGUCGUGAAGAGGGAAACAACCCAGACCGCCAGCUAAGGUCCCAAAGUCAUGGUUAAGUGGGAAACGAUGUGGGAAGGCCCAGACAGCCAGGAUGUUGGCUUAGAAGCAGCCAUCAUUUAAAGAAAGCGUAAUAGCUCACUGGUCGAGUCGGCCUGCGCGGAAGAUGUAACGGGGCUAAACCAUG